Molecule: non-coding RNA, 137 nt
Organism: Clostridium sp.
Lineage: Bacteria; Bacillati; Bacillota; Clostridia; Eubacteriales; Clostridiaceae
Source: Rfam
UAAUCAGGCAAUUAGCUGCCGAAGACAGUAGGUGCCGCAAGGCAUAAGCACAUCAACGCCUACCGAGGAAUGCGAGAUUCAUUGAAUUGGAUUUUACCUCUGCGUCUUUGUGUACGCAGAGGUUUUUAUAUUUAACC